RNAcentral lists this ribosomal RNA (492 nucleotides) under uncultured bacterium. Its description in RNAcentral is "bacterial SSU rRNA". It matches the Rfam family "Bacterial small subunit ribosomal RNA", at positions 17 to 518 of the family's 1533-position model. The record is from RNAcentral.
UUCUGGCUCAGGAUGAACGCUGGCGGCGUGCUUAACACAUGCAAGUCGAACGGAGUUUAGAUGAAAGCUUGCUUUGACUAAACUUAGUGGCGGACGGGUGAGUAACGCGUGGGUAACCUGCCUUAUACAGGGGGAUAACAGUCGGAAACGACUGCUAAUACCGCAUAAGCGCACGGAAUCGCAUGAUUCAGUGUGAAAAGAUUUAUCGGUAUAAGAUGGACCCGCGUCUGAUUAGCUAGUUGGUGAGGUAACGGCCCACCAAGGCGACGAUCAGUAGCCGGCCUGAGAGGGUGAACGGCCACAUUGGGACUGAGACACGGCCCAAACUCCUACGGGAGGCAGCAGUGGGGAAUAUUGCACAAUGGGGGAAACCCUGAUGCCAGCGACGCCGCGUGAGUGAAGAAGUAUUUCGGUAUGUAAAGCUCUAUCAGCAGGGAAGAAAAUGACGGUACCUGACUAAGAAGCCCCGGCUAACUACGUGCCAGCCGCCGC